Molecule: long non-coding RNA, 242 nt
Filed under: Capsicum annuum
Lineage: Eukaryota; Viridiplantae; Streptophyta; Magnoliopsida; Solanales; Solanaceae
Description: long non-coding RNA (CANN_LNC010033)
Source: RNAcentral
UGGGCAUAUAUUACUAUUAGCUUUUAUUUCUUUAUUUUUUACUAGAUAUUUUGCUACAUAAUUUUUUUCUUGUCCUAUGUUUAAGAUUAUUAAAUAUUUUUUUUCAUUUAUUGUUACCGUUAUAUAAUAUUAAUUUAAAUUAACUGUUGAAGUUGUUUCAUAACUUGUUCUUUUUUAUGAACUUGAUGAUUCUGAUUUUUCGUGAGCUAUUCUUUUUGAUGUACUUAUCCUAUCAUUUAUUA